Molecule: long non-coding RNA, 836 nt
Organism: Mandrillus leucophaeus (drill)
Lineage: Eukaryota; Metazoa; Chordata; Mammalia; Primates; Cercopithecidae
Exons: 7
Source: RefSeq, a predicted model, not a curated record
CCUGUUUUCUCCGUGACCACAAUAUGAACCAGGAUGAUGGUGGUGGCAGUGGGCUUGCAUCACAGGUUGCAGCAGAUGUUCUCAAUAUCUCUAUUAAAAUUUCCUUAUUUCCGUAUGUGAGAGGAGCUCCAGAGCCGCAUCCUUAUGGUAGCUACCAUGCCGUGAUGUAAGCUGCCAUUCACUGGGAGCUUUGGCAAGAGAAUUGGCUAGAUCAGCAAGCCCAUCUCCACUAUGGAACAACAACUUGCAGCUCAUCUCUAUUGAUGGACAUCUAACAAUGAUAUUUGAAAAACAGACACUAAGUCUUAGAGAGGUGAAACAGUCACAAAUGGAAUAUCAAGAAACAUGCUAUAUACACUGCCUCUAGGACUGGAACAGAUAGCCACUGAGUAGCAGCUUCAAAUCACCCUGCACAUUUUCUUGUUGGAAAGAUAACCACUGGAGAACCAUCUCGUUACCUUCAGCAAAAAUGAAAACAAAUCAAGACAUUAAGAAUGCCACAGUGGACAGCAGUUACGCAAGGUUCAGCAGAGGAAGUUUUCAAGAUGGUGUGCCUCGCUAGCCAGAAAUCAGAAAAGAUCGAAGCUAGCCUUUUCAUCUCAGCUGCUCCUUAAAUCAGUCCAACCCCUCGAAAUUAAUGUGAAUUGAAAUAUGCAUUGCUUUUCAACUUAAUUGAGUACUUACUAUGUGUGAACCACUGCACAAAAUAGGGGAAGAAAAUGAGGGAGACAAAGCCUGCCUUCAGUAAAUUUACAGUUAGUUUCAGGGUACAUUGUUUUUCUUCUGCUGUUAAUUAGGUGUAUCCCCAAGAAAAUAAAUAAAUAAAUGGAAAAGUA